AAUAAAUACAAAUAAAAUUUUUUAUUUAAAGUUAAAAUGUUUUUAAUAAUAUAUAAUUAAAUUUAUUAGGUUAAAUUUUAAAUUUAAAAAAUUAUUAUAAAUUAAAUUAUUUGAAGCUUGAAAAUUUUAUUAUUAAACUAGGAUUAGAUACCCUAUUAUAAAAAAUGUAAAUUUAAAAAAUAGAGUAGUAUUAGUUAUGUUCUUAAAACUUAAUAAAUUUGGCGGUAUUUUAAUCUAUUCAGAGGAACUUGUUUUAUAAUUGAUAUUCCUCGUUAAAUCUUACUUAAAUUAAUAGUUUGUAUACCAUCGUCAUAAGAAUCUCUUAAAAAAGAAAAAAUUUUCUUAAUAAUUUAUUAUUUAAUAUGUCAGAUCAAGGUGCAGCUUAUAUUUAAGAAAAAAUGAGUUACAAUAAAAAUAUUUAUACGAAUUUAAAAUUUAAAAAUUUUAAUGAAGGUGGAUUUGAUAGUAAAAUAAAUUACAGAGUUUAUUUGAUUUUAGUUCUAAAAUAUGUACAUAUCGCCCGUCGCUCUCGUUAUUUAAAAUGAG
This 546-nucleotide ribosomal RNA is filed under the name Pseudexechia tuomikoskii. Its description in RNAcentral is "partial 12S ribosomal RNA". The record is from RNAcentral. Lineage: Eukaryota; Metazoa; Arthropoda; Insecta; Diptera; Mycetophilidae.